Molecule: ribosomal RNA, 350 nt
Filed under: uncultured bacterium
Lineage: Bacteria
Description: bacterial SSU rRNA
Rfam family: Bacterial small subunit ribosomal RNA
Source: RNAcentral
UGGGGAAUAUUGGACAAUGGGGGCAACCCUGAUCCAGCCAUGCCGCGUGAGUGAAGAAGGCCUUCGGGUUGUAAAGCUCUUUCAGAUGCGAAGAUGAUGACGGUAACAUCAGAAGAAGCCCCGGCUAAUUUCGUGCCAGCAGCCGCGGUAAUACGAAAGGGGCUAGCGUUGUUCGGAUUUACUGGGCGUAAAGGGCACGCAGGCGGUCUUGCCAGUCAGGGGUGAAAGCCCGGGGCUCAACCUCGGAACUGCCUCUGAUACUGUAAGACUUGAGACUAGGAGAGGGUGGUGGAAUUCCCAGUGUAGAGGUGAAAUUCGUAGAUAUUGGGAGGAACACCAGAGGCGAAGGC